UAAGGAAUAUUGGUCAAUGGACGCAAGUCUGAACCAGCCAUGCCGCGUGAAGGAUGAAGGUCCUCUGGAUUGUAAACUUCUUUUAUCUGGGACGAAAACGGGAUUUUUAUCUCAAUUGACGGUACCAGAGGAAUAAGCACCGGCUAACUCCGUGCCAGCAGCCGCGGUAAUACGGAGGGUGCGAGCGUUAUCCGGAUUUACUGGGUUUAAAGGGUGCGUAGGUGGGCUUAUAAGUCAGUGGUGAAAUCUCCGAGCUUAACUUGGAAACUGCCGUUGAUACUAUAGGUCUUGAAUUAUCUGGAGGUAAGCGGAAUAUGUCAUGUAGCGGUGAAAUGCUUAGAUAAGACAUAGAACACCAAUUGCGAAGGCAGCUUACUACAUAUAAAUUGACGCUGAGGCACGAAAGCGUGGGGAUCAAACA
RNAcentral lists this ribosomal RNA (421 nucleotides) under uncultured bacterium. RNAcentral describes it as "bacterial SSU rRNA". It matches the Rfam family "Bacterial small subunit ribosomal RNA", at positions 355 to 774 of the family's 1533-position model. The record is from RNAcentral.